UUUUUUGUUAAAGCCAUAUUUUAACGUUCUUAACUCGCCUCUAGGAAAUCAUGAAAAAAUUCAAUCUCUCGGUUGCUUUUUUGGACUUCGCGUAUAUUACAGGUUAUAAAUAAUAAAAAUCUCGAAUUACAUGGUCAGAAUACAUGUUAUUUAAUUACAGGGUCAANGAAUUACAUGGUCAGAAUACAUGUUAUUUAAUUACAGGGUCAAUUUUCAGACUUCAUGUAUAUUACGUGGUCAAUUUCAAUUAAUAACCCUAUUUUAAAUUGCACUUUUGUUAACAAAAUGAUAAACCUCUUUUAUUUUGAUUUUUUUUAGGAAAAAAA
Molecule: long non-coding RNA, 326 nt
Filed under: Medicago truncatula (barrel medic)
Lineage: Eukaryota; Viridiplantae; Streptophyta; Magnoliopsida; Fabales; Fabaceae
Description: long non-coding RNA (MTRU_LNC001978)
Source: RNAcentral